RNAcentral lists this ribosomal RNA (715 nucleotides) under Pyrocoelia abdominalis. Its description in RNAcentral is "eukaryotic LSU rRNA". It matches the Rfam family "Eukaryotic large subunit ribosomal RNA", at positions 163 to 662 of the family's 3401-position model. Lineage: Eukaryota; Metazoa; Arthropoda; Insecta; Coleoptera; Lampyridae. RNAcentral also lists the same sequence under 7 other names. The record is from RNAcentral.
CCGCAAGUCCCGACGUCGCGAUAGCGGCGCGUCCAAGUCCUUCUUGAAAGAGGCCGAACCACCCGCAGAGGGUGCCAGGCCCGUAGGACCGCCGCCCGGCGUCGGGUCGGAUCUCUCCCUAGAGUCGGGUUGCUCGAGAUUGCAGCCCUAAGCAGGUGGUAAACUCCAUCUAAGGCUAAAUAUGACCACGAGACCGAUAGCGAACAAGUACCGCGAGGGAAAGUUGAAAAGAACUUUGAAGAGAGAGUUCAAGAGUACGUGAAACCGUUCGGGGGUAAACCUGAGGAACCCGAAAGAUCGAAAGCCGAGAUACAGCGUCCGGCGCCGCGGGCGAUGCGGCGGCGGCGUGCACUUCUCGGCCGGUAGGACGUCGCGACCCGUUGGGAGUCGCCGACGCGCGAAGGGGACGCGCGGGAAGCUCGAGGCGGCGCGACGGGACUCGUUCCCGUCGUCUUUGCGUUGCCCCUCGAACCCGCCGCGCCCUCAGAUAGGCGAUCGGCACGCCCGACGCGACAUUCAAACACAGACCGAUGCGUUCGUUCGGCGGUGCGCUUUUGCGGCGCGCCCGAAGUCGUCGCGGCCGACGCCCCUCCUAACGGAGGCGGCGCGCCGCGUCGGCAGAUCUCGGGCGUGUGUGUGCUCGCGCACACGCACCGACGUCCGAUCGUCGGCGACGCUUUUGCUUCGGGCGUUUUCAGGACCCGUCUUGAAACAC